Molecule: long non-coding RNA, 5240 nt
Organism: Nyctereutes procyonoides (raccoon dog)
Lineage: Eukaryota; Metazoa; Chordata; Mammalia; Carnivora; Canidae
Exons: 7
Source: RefSeq, a predicted model, not a curated record
CCCGCAGCCCUUCCGCGGGCGCCGGGCGGGUGAGGAGCGUCGCGUCGCGUGCGGUCCCGCGCCACCCGGGUCCAUCUGCCGCAAUCCUCAGACAUCCGCAGCCCCCCGCGCCGUAGCUCGCGGCGUCCGGGGUGAUUACGGGCUGCCUCUGUCCUGGUCAUUGGUAACACAGGCUGAGGAGAAGCUGCAAGGUUUUCUUGAUGUUCACAGGUUCCAAAAUGGGACAGCCUGAGGUGACGGAGCACGACGAGGAGGGUCUCAUGACUGCUGUCCCACAUAUGUGAGAGGUGACCUCCGGGAGAAGCUGGAUCGGGAGGUCCCAGGUGGGUCUGCACUUGCAGAGGCACCACGAGAGGUGUCAUCUCUUCAGCUGGGCACGAGACCAUGGGGCCCAAGAUUUAUUUUAGAGAGAGAGCGCGCGUGCAUGCAGUGGGAAGGAGCAGAUGGAGAAGAGAGAGAGAGACUCUCAAGCAGACUCCACACUGAGCACAGAGCCCCCAACAUGGGCACGUUCCCACAACCUGUGAGAUCAUGACUUGAGCUGAAACCCGAAUUGGGCACUUAACCAACUGAGCCACCCAGAUCAGCCUUAGAUCUGGAGGCUGCUGAAGUAAGUCCCCAGGCCAUAAUGAGUCCGUGACCCUUGGGAUGACUUGGGAUCUGAAUUUGCUAAUCUGUCUCCCCAAGAUUCUCUUGGCAUUAUUGGACAUCAGAAGAGCAGAGGAUGGAGGAGUCCUCCCCAGAGGAUGGAGGAAGCAUCCCCAGAGUACCCCCUGCUGUUACUCAGCUCAUUAUGAACCAACUCUUCCUUCCACACAGGAGAUCGGAGGGAAAUCCCUGGGGCUGGGGCUGGCGUCCACUUCAGCUGGCUCGGAAUCUUGACAUCAGUGCCCUGAGAAUCCGUGGACUGGGAAGGCCAGCCCCGUGUCCCUCUGCUGUGCCUGGAAUGACUUUAAUGACCAAGAGUUUUUCUUCUGAAUUGUAGCAGCUCAUCACUUUACUCUCAGCGCACCCAUUUCAGUAAGCCUUACAGACUCACUGUGGCUGCCUUUUUUUUUUUUUUUUUUUUUUUUUUUUUUGUGGCUGCCUUUUAAGUUCGUAACAAUCUGUGCCUCUGAGGCUGAAUGUGAAGAAGUGGAUCACAGCCAGCUUAUUUUCACCCCUGAGCCUCUCCUGUCACCAUCCUGAGGCUUGGCAUGCAGGCUGCAGUCUGAGGUGUUCUGUUAGGACUAGAAGGUGAGGGCACCUGGGUGGCUCAGUGAUUGAGCAUCUGCCUUUGGCUCAGGUCGUGAUCCGGGGUCUUGGGAUCGAGUCCCGUAUUGGGCUCCCCACAGGGAGCCUGCUUCUCCCUCUGCCUAUGUCUCUGCAUCCCUCUCUGUGUGUCUCUCAUGAAUAAAUAAAAUCUUUAAAAAAAAAAGUAAAGGUAGUAACAAUACAAACAGGUUUGAAAAAAUCCCUAUGCUUGGGAAAUUUUAAAACAUGGUUUAAAAUAAUCUCAUCAGGGACCCUUGGUUGGUUAAGGCAUUGGACUCUUGGUUUGAGCUCAGGUCUGAUCUCAGGGUUAUGAGAUCCAGCCCCGAGUCAGGCUCUCUGUUCAUUGUGGAGUCUGCAUGAAUUUCUGCCCCUCCCCACUUGCGCGCGCUCUUCUCUCUUAAAAUCUUAAAAACAAAACAAAAGCCUAGUAGAAGAUGAUACCAUAAGGGGAAUUAGAAAUAUUAACAACUGAAUUGAAAAUUUUUGCAUACCAAAGUUUGAGAUGUAGCUCAAGUAAUUCCUAAGGAGAAAAUUAUGCCUCUUAGGGCUUAAAAUAGAAAAAAGACAGAAAUUUAAUAACAAAACAAGUAAUGAGAAUAAAAAUUAGAGCAGAUUACUUUUUUGUCUAUAAAAGUUUAUACUUUGACAAAAUGAACAAACAUUAAAAUUGCCUCAAAAUGGAAAACUUUAAUAAAGACUGCAGGGGGGAGAGCUCAACAAGGUGAUUUAUUCACAUCUUGCAACAUGAACUUUUGGUCACUAUUAGAGCUGUGCUUUUCUGACAAAUCUUGGAUCUGCCCCUGAAUUAAUAUAUAAUGAUCCAAACAUAUGGCUCAUUGUUGGGGAAAAUUGAGGUCUAUUUGAAGGGGGUACAGGGGUCUUUGAGGCUUUGGCUUCACACUGUCAAGUUUGGUCAGAAUCCAGCUGUAGAUAGGUCAUGAAUGAGAAACAUCAUUGAUGAGGCUUUUAGAAUUUUCCCACCAGUCCUGAAGUUUGCACCUCUACUAAGACAGUAAGACUAAACAGCAAUGAGCAUGGAAGAGAGUGAAAGCCUCUUGAGGAAUUUCUGAGGAUGUAGUGAAGGAUAAAUGACUGAAAACACAUGAACUGUGAAGACAUUGAUAAAGUAGGAGCUGUGACCUCACUGAUUGACAAGGAUGUUGAAAUCUUAAAAUCCCUAGACCAUUUUUUUAAAAAAUUUAUUUAUAAGAGACACACAGGCAGAGGGAGAAGCAGGCUCCAUGCAGGAAGCCUGACUCAGAACUCGAUCCUGGGACUCCAGGAUCAGGCCCCGAGCUGAAGGCAGACGCUUAGCCCCUCAGCCACCAGGUGUCCCUAAACCUUUUUUUUUUUUUUUUAAAAGACUUUACUCAUGGGGAUCCCUGGGUGGCUCCGCAGUUUAGCACCUGCCUUUGGCCCAGGGAGCGAUCCUGGAGUCCCGGAAUCGAGUCCCACGUCCAGCUCUCAUGUUGGGUUCCCGGCAUGGAGCCUGCUUCUCCCUCUUCCUGUGUCUCUGCCCCCUCUCUCUCUAUGUCUAUCAUAAGUAAGUUAAAAAAAAAAAAAAAAAAAAAGACUUACUUGAGAGACACAGAGAGAGGCGGAGACAUAGGCAGAGGGAGAAGCAGGCUUUGUGCAGGAGCCUGAUGUGGGACUUGAUUCCAGGACCCUGGGAUCACAACCAGAGCCAAAGGCAGAUCUUCAAAGCAACUGAGCUACCUAGGCAUCCUGGUCUUUAGACCAUUCUGUACCGGUAUUUUUGCUUGGACAGGAGUCUGUUUCUUUGAACCUGAAAAGUAUAAAAUUAUUCAAAUGUUUUUAUAUUAAUAGAAUCUCUAUGUAAUUAACUCCGAAAGAUGGAACUUCAUUUGUCAGUGUUGUGUUUUUUAACCUAAAUUUGGUAAACAAAGAGCUCUCACAAAUUUUGAAUUAAUUGAAACCUAGAGAAUGCUAACAUCUAAUUGUAUCUUUUACACUUUCUUAAGGUGAAAGGGCAAAUCUGUUGUGUUACCUGGUGGCCAUUCAAGGAAACCCAGAGAUACCUUAGGACUAAAAGACAUUUUAACCAUCUGAUUCUGAAUUUGGGAAAGGAAAAGGCAACAACUGUCAGAGGACAAACGAACACUUCACAAUUUUCAAAUAUAAGAAAAAGUUACUGCAAGAUGAUUUUAAAAACCACAGCAAAAAGUACAUAGCUGUUAGAAACUUAAUUUUUUUUUUUUUUUAAAUAAGGAACUUUUGUUGAGACAAAUCAAGAGUAUGCCAGGUAGCAUCCAGAUGGCCAACAGACACAUAAAGACAUGCUCAACAUCACUCAGCAUCAGGGAACUGCAAAUCAAAGCCACAAUGAAAUAUCACCUCAUAUGAGUCAGAAGGGCUAGUAUAAAAAAAUUAAGUCUUGUAGAUGUGGAGAAAAAGGAACCCUUGUGCACUGUUGGUGGGAAUGUAAAUUGGUGCGACUGCUAUGGAAAGCAGUAUGCAAGUUAAAAAAAAAAAAAACUACCGCAUGAUCAGUAAUUCCACUAUAGGAUAUUUACUCAAAUAAAAACACUAAUUCAGGAAUAUAGAGCCACCCCUAUUGUUUACUGUAGCAUUACUUAAAAUAACCAAAUACGGAAGCAACCCAAUUGUCCAUCCACAGAUGAAUGGAUAAAAAUGUGUGUGUAUAUACAUGUGUAUAUAUACAUAUAUAUGUAUAUACACACACAGAAUGGAACAGUACUCAGUCGUAAGAAACUGAAAGCCUGCUACUUGCAACAACAUGGAUGGAUCUAGAGGGUAUGGUGCUAAGUGAAAUCCACGAGAGAAAAGUGAUUUCAGUCGUGGAAUUUAAAAAAACGAAACCACCAAAAAAAGACCAAAGCAGAUUUUUAACUAUAGAGAACAAACUGGUGGUUGCCAGACAGCAGGUGAGAGGGGAUGGGUGAAAUAGGUGAAGAGGAUUAAGAGUACUUUUUCUGGGCAGCCCCAGUGACGCAGUGGUUUAGCGCCACCUUCGGUCCAGGGUGUGAUCCUGGGGUCCUGGGAUUGAGUCCCGUUUUGGGCUUCCUGCAUGGAGCCUGUUUCCCCUCUGCCUGUGUCUCUGUCUCUCAUGAAUAAAUAAUAUAAAUAAAAUGUUUUUAAAAAGUACAUUUUCCGUGAUGGAGCACUGAGUUAGAUAUAGUAUAGAAUUGUUGAAUCAGUAGACAUUGUGCACCUGAGCUAAUAUAACAUGUCAGUUACACUGGAAUUUUAAAGUAUCUGGGAACAGAAUAACAAACAUUUUUUUAAACAAAAAAACCCCUAAAUUCUAGUUUUAUUUCUGUGUGUGUUUCAACCAUGCAACAGUGUGCAGUAAAGGAUUUAUAAACCUACCUUUUUUUUUAAAAAAAGGAUUUUAUUUACUCAUGAGAGACACAAAGAGAGGCAGAGGGAGAAGCAGGCUCCCUGUGGGGAGUCUGAUGUGGGACUCGAUCGCAGGAUUCCAGGACUGUGGGAUCAUGACCUGAGCCAAAGGCAGAUGCUCAACCACUGAGCUACCCAGAUGCCCCUAUGCCCCUAUGAACCUUUCUUAUGAAUAAACAUUGAGCCAACUUUGUCAAAGUUUUUAUUUUUUAUUUUUGUCAAAGUUUUUUUUUAAAGGAAUUUUUUAAAGCAUUUUAUUUUUUUUAAUUUUUAUUUAUUUAUGAUCGUCAGAGAGAGAGAGAGAGAGAGAGAGAGAGGCAGGCUCCAUGCACCGGGAGCCUGACGUGGGAUUCGAUCCGGGUCUCCAGGAUCGCGCCCUGGGCCAAAGGCAGGCGCUAAACCGCUGCGCCACCCAGGGAUCCCUUGUCAAAGUUUUUAAUACGGGUUUAUGUUUUUUAGGAACAUGGUAGUAUAACUCAAGUCAAAAAACUUGUUAAUAAGUUUGUACACUUACAGUAUAAUUUAUUAUUUUUGUUUAGAGACUAAAAAAUGAAUCUUAUUUUCAAAAUAAAAUUUUAUGAACAUAUUACAUAAAAAGUCUUAUA